This 1045-nucleotide ribosomal RNA is filed under the name Staphylococcus aureus. RNAcentral's name for it is "partial 23S ribosomal RNA". It matches the Rfam family "Bacterial large subunit ribosomal RNA", at positions 1146 to 2192 of the family's 2925-position model. The record is from RNAcentral. Lineage: Bacteria; Bacillati; Bacillota; Bacilli; Caryophanales; Staphylococcaceae.
UAGUCGAGUGACACUGCGCCGAAAAUGUACCGGGGCUAAACAUAUUACCGAAGCUGUGGAUUGUCCUUUGGACAAUGGUAGGAGAGCGUUCUAAGGGCGUUGAAGCAUGAUCGUAAGGACAUGUGGAGCGCUUAGAAGUGAGAAUGCCGGUGUGAGUAGCGAAAGACGGGUGAGAAUCCCGUCCACCGAUUGACUAAGGUUUCCAGAGGAAGGCUCGUCCGCUCUGGGUUAGUCGGGUCCUAAGCUGAGGCCGACAGGCGUAGGCGAUGGAUAACAGGUUGAUAUUCCUGUACCACCUAUAAUCGUUUUAAUCGAUGGGGGGACGCAGUAGGAUAGGCGAAGCGUGCGAUUGGAUUGCACGUCUAAGCAGUAAGGCUGAGUAUUAGGCAAAUCCGGUACUCGUUAAGGCUGAGCUGUGAUGGGGAGAAGACAUUGAGUCUUCGAGUCGUUGAUUUCACACUGCCGAGAAAAGCCUCUAGAUAGAAAAUAGGUGCCCGUACCGCAAACCGACACAGGUAGUCAAGAUGAGAAUUCUAAGGUGAGCGAGCGAACUCUCGUUAAGGAACUCGGCAAAAUGACCCCGUAACUUCGGGAGAAGGGGUGCUCUUUAGGGUUAACGCCCAGAAGAGCCGCAGUGAAUAGGCCCAAGCGACUGUUUAUCAAAAACACAGGUCUCUGCUAAACCGUAAGGUGAUGUAUAGGGGCUGACGCCUGCCCGGUGCUGGAAGGUUAAGAGGAGUGGUUAGCUUCUGCGAAGCUACGAAUCGAAGCCCCAGUAAACGGCGGCCGUAACUAUAACGGUCCUAAGGUAGCGAAAUUCCUUGUCGGGUAAGUUCCGACCCGCACGAAAGGCGUAACGAUUUGGGCACUGUCUCAACGAGAGACUCGGUGAAAUCAUAGUACCUGUGAAGAUGCAGGUUACCCGCGACAGGACGGAAAGACCCCGUGGAGCUUUACUGUAGCCUGAUAUUGAAAUUCGGCACAGCUUGUACAGGAUAGGUAGGAGCCUUUGAAACGUGAGCGCUAGCUUACGUGGAGGCGCUGG